Molecule: non-coding RNA, 75 nt
Organism: Streptomyces sp. SirexAA-E
Lineage: Bacteria; Bacillati; Actinomycetota; Actinomycetes; Kitasatosporales; Streptomycetaceae
Rfam family: ASpks TB sRNA
Source: Rfam
UUUGACGGACCCCAGCCACAGCGGCGCGUCGUCCGGCCGCUCCUGUCCGUAGGUGGCCAGCAGCGCCUGGGCCUC